UGGAGCUGGGGCUCAGUGGCAGAGCACUUGCCUAGCAUGUGUGAGACACUGCGUUAAAUCCUUAGCACCACAUAAAAAUAAAAUAAAGGCAUGCUGUCCAUACACUAAUACAUAUAUAUAUAUAUAUAUAUAUAUAUAUAUAUAUAUAUAUAUAUAAUAUUAAAAAGAGGUUGGAUGUAGCUCAGUACUACAGUCCUUGCCUAGCAUGAGCAAGACCCUGGGUUCAAUCCCCAGCACUGCAA
RNAcentral lists this transfer RNA (242 nucleotides) under Marmota monax (woodchuck). RNAcentral's name for it is "tRNA.Ala". The record is from RNAcentral. Lineage: Eukaryota; Metazoa; Chordata; Mammalia; Rodentia; Sciuridae.